AUGUGGAAGUUGUUGACAAUUUUGGUUGUGCUUGCUUUAGCUCUUGUAGCUCCUUCCGAGGAGGCUCGUUAUGGGCCUUGUGUCAUCGGGGCAAACUCUCCAUGCAACAGAAGACAAUGGGGCGACCAAGAUUCCUCUACCUUGAAUAAUCCUCCGGCAGCCAGCCCUAAUCGGCCAAUUCAUAUUGUUGAUUAUACGGAUAAAUAUUAUUUUGAUAUUCCAGAGCUAGAACCACCAUUCUAUUUUUGA
RNAcentral lists this long non-coding RNA (249 nucleotides) under Prunus dulcis (almond). Its description in RNAcentral is "sRNA ncRNA". The record is from RNAcentral. Lineage: Eukaryota; Viridiplantae; Streptophyta; Magnoliopsida; Rosales; Rosaceae.